RNAcentral lists this ribosomal RNA (417 nucleotides) under uncultured bacterium. RNAcentral's name for it is "bacterial SSU rRNA". It matches the Rfam family "Bacterial small subunit ribosomal RNA", at positions 359 to 776 of the family's 1533-position model. The record is from RNAcentral.
GAAUAUUGCGCAAUGGGCGAAAGCCUGACGCAGCGACGCCUCUUGGGGGAUGAAGGUCUUCGGAUUGUAAACCCCUUUCGGGAGGGAAGAUGGGAUGGGGUAACCCAUUCGGACGGUACCUCCUUAAGCAGCCACGGCCAACUUCGUGCCAGCCGCCGCGGUAAUACGAAGGUGGCAAGCGUUGUUCGGAUUUACUGGGCGUACAGGGAGCGUAGGCGGUUGGGUAAGCCCUCCGUGAAAUCUCCAGGCUUAACCUGGAAAGUGCAGAGGGGACUGCUCAGCUAGAGGAUGGGAGAGGAGCGCGGAAUUCCCGGUGUAGCGGUGAAAUGCGUAGAGAUCGGGAGGAAGGCCGGUGGCGAAGGCGGCGCUCUGGAACAUUUCUGACGCUGAGGCUCGAAAGCGUGGGGAGCAAACAGG